UAGUAAUAGUAUAGUACUAAAAAGCGGGCAGUCAUCCUCUCAACCGCCCCUCGCAUCUCCCCCAUUCCCCAUUUCUCCCAUCGCCAGCUUCCUCCCUCCAUAGCCGGCGGGUCCCAGGUCAGGCCGCCCCUUCCUUUGUAACCAUAGCCGGCACGAGCUUCACAGCCACUGAUCUUCCUCCCCUUCAUGUCGAAUCUGGCCGUGGAAGUGGCCGAGGAGGCCCUCGAGCUCAGCAUGCUCGUGCCAGCUCUGGGCUCCGCCGGAGGCGGAUGCAGAGGCGCGAGACUCACACACCUCUCCUUUGCCCCACUCCUUCUUCGAAUCCAGUCACUGAAGUGCUCGAGGAGGCACUCGAGCUUGGCAUGCUCGCCGGCGACGCCAGUCCCCUCCCUCCUCCUGAUGCUCUCGUUGUCGUCGCCAUGAGCCUCUCCAGCCUCCCCUGCGCGAUCGUCUGGGUCCAGAUUGUUGCAUCUUCUGGUUGUGAGUAGACCCAAGAGUUAACAUGGUACAGUAUCUUCUCGAAAGAUGAGGUAUUCCUUCAUAAAAGAAAGGAUGUUGGAGAAGUUAUUAUUGAAGAGGAAUUCAGUUUCAUGUGAUUCUCAAGAGCUAAAAUGGAACAAGAAGUGCAUGCCUCUCAUGCCAACACUAACUAAUCAGGUGGCAUAUGCAAAAUUUUCAGCAUACUACAUUCAGAUAUGACAUUUGAAUGUAAAAACUGGCAAUUCUAUAUAGUAGACAGUUUCUAAGAAUUCUGCAUUAGAGGCUUGUAGCUUCAAUUCUUCAA
Long non-coding RNA from Aegilops tauschii subsp. strangulata, 784 nucleotides. RefSeq lists it as uncharacterized. NCBI's taxonomy places the organism in Eukaryota, Viridiplantae, Streptophyta, Magnoliopsida, Poales, Poaceae. The record is from RefSeq and is a predicted model, not a curated record.